UCGGUUGCAUUUUAAGAUACCAGGUAAGACUGCAUUGACAACAGUAGGAGCACUUACCAAGAGCUUCACUUCUGAGACAAAUUCCGUGCCAGCUCUGUUUAGAAAGAGUGGGUGGCUCUGAAAAGAGCCUUUGGGGGCGGGCGGCGGGGCGGCCGCGCUCACUUGGAGCUCGUGUACUUGGUGACGGCCUUGGUGCCCUCCGACACCGCGUGCUUCGCCAGCUCCCCGGGCAGCAGCAGCCGCACGGCCGUCUGGAUCUCCCGAGACGUGAUGGUCGAGCGCUUGUUGUAGUGCGCCAGGCGCGACGCCUCGCC
Molecule: long non-coding RNA, 314 nt
Filed under: Chinchilla lanigera (long-tailed chinchilla)
Lineage: Eukaryota; Metazoa; Chordata; Mammalia; Rodentia; Chinchillidae
Description: lncRNA (ENSCLAG00000022257.1)
Source: RNAcentral